CAGUAGCCGCGGGAAUACAGAGGGUGCGAGCGUUAAUCGGAUUUACUGGGCGUAAAGCGUGCGUAGGCGGCUUCUUAAGUCGGAUGUGAAAUCCCUGAGCUUAACUUAGGAAUUGCAUUCGAUACUGGGAAGCUAGAGUAUGGGAGAGGAUGGUAGAAUUCCAGGUGUAGCGGUGAAAUGCGUAGAGAUCUGGAGGAAUACCGAUGGCGAAGGCAGCCAUCUGGUCUAAUACUGACGCUGAGGUACGAAAGCAUGGGGAGCAAACAGGAUUAGAUACCCCUGUAGUCCCUGUCUCUUAUAC
RNAcentral lists this ribosomal RNA (301 nucleotides) under uncultured bacterium. RNAcentral's name for it is "partial 16S ribosomal RNA". It matches the Rfam family "Bacterial small subunit ribosomal RNA", at positions 509 to 807 of the family's 1533-position model. The record is from RNAcentral.